RNAcentral lists this unclassified non-coding RNA (313 nucleotides) under plant metagenome. RNAcentral's name for it is "partial contains 5.8S ribosomal RNA, internal transcribed spacer 2, and large subunit ribosomal RNA". The stretch from base 1 to 104 matches the Rfam family "5.8S ribosomal RNA", at positions 51 to 154 of the family's 154-position model. The record is from RNAcentral.
AAAUGCGAUAAUUAAUGUGAAUUGCAGAAUUCAGUGAGUCAUCGAGUCUUUGAACGCACAUUGCGCCCCCUGGUAUUCCGGGGGGCAUGCCUGUCCGAGCGUCAUUGCUGCCCUCAAGCACGGCUUGUGUGUUGGGCUUCCGUCCCUGGCAACGGGGACGGGCCCAAAAGGCAGUGGCGGCACCAUGUCUGGUCCUCGAGCGUAUGGGGCUUUGUCACCCGCUCCCGUAGGUCCAGCUGGCAGCUAGCCUCGCAACCAAUCUUUUUAACCAGGUUGACCUCGGAUCAGGUAGGGAUACCCGCUGAACUUAAGC